RNAcentral lists this ribosomal RNA (1949 nucleotides) under Sinozolus sp. China: Sichuan. RNAcentral's name for it is "SSU rRNA". It matches the Rfam family "Eukaryotic small subunit ribosomal RNA". Lineage: Eukaryota; Metazoa; Arthropoda; Insecta; Coleoptera; Carabidae. The record is from RNAcentral.
GCCAUGCAUGUCUCAGUACAAGCCAAAUUAAGGUGAAACCGCGAAAGGCUCAUUAAAUCAGUUAUGGUUCCUUAGAUCGUACCCACAUUUACUUGGAUAACUGUGGUAAUUCUAGAGCUAAUACAUGCAAACAGAGCUCUGACCGGAGACGGAAGGAGUGCUUUUAUUAGAUCAAAACCAAUCGGCGGCAAUAGCGUUUCGGCGUUAUUGUUCGUCGCAGUGCUUGGUGACUCUGAAUAACUUUUGGCUGAUCGCACGGUCUCGUACCGGCGACGCAUCUUUCAAAUGUCUGCCUUAUCAACUGUCGAUGGUAGGUUCUGCGCCUACCAUGGUUGUAACGGGUAACGGGGAAUCAGGGUUCGAUUCCGGAGAGGGAGCCUGAGAAACGGCUACCACAUCCAAGGAAGGCAGCAGGCGCGCAAAUUACCCACUCCCGGCACGGGGAGGUAGUGACGAAAAAUAACGAUACGGGACUCAUCCGAGGCCCCGUAAUCGGAAUGAGUACACUUUAAAUCCUUUCACAAGGACCCAUUGGAGGGCAAGUCUGGUGCCAGCAGCCGCGRUAAUUCCAGCUCCAAUAGCGUAUAUUAAAGUUGUUGCGGUUAAAAAGCUCGUAGUUGAAUUUGUGUUCCGAGCUGUCGGUUCACCGCCCGCGGUGUUAACUGGCAUGUCUCUCGGAACGUCCUGCCGGUGGAUGCGAGUACUUUGUUUUCUUCCCCAUUAUGCGUGUGCAUCCUUAGGGUUUGUUACUGUAUAGUGGUGGUGGGGUCUCAAAUGUUCUCCAUCCGACUCAAUAAUCCUGUCGCGGUGCUCUUAAUUGAGUGUCGAGGCGGGCCGGCACGUUUACUUUGAACAAAUUAGAGUGCUCAAAGCAGGCUAAAAUUUCGCCUGAAUACUGUGUGCAUGGAAUAAUGGAACAGGACCUCGGUUCUAUUUUGUUGGUUUUCGGAACCCCGAGGUAAUGAUUAAUAGGGACAGAUGGGGGCAUUCGUAUUGCGACGUUAGAGGUGAAAUUCUUGGAUCGUCGCAAGACGGACAGAAGCGAAAGCAUUUGCCAAAAAUGUUUUCAUUAAUCAAGAACGAAAGUCAGAGGUUCGAAGGCGAUCAGAUACCGCCCUAGUUCUGACCAUAAACGAUGCCAGCUAGCGAUCCGCCGACGUUCCUCCGAUGACUCGGCGGGCAGCUUGCGGGAAACCAAAGCUUUUGGGUUCCGGGGGAAGUAUGGUUGCAAAGCUGAAACUUAAAGGAAUUGACGGAAGGGCACCACCAGGAGUGGAGCCUGCGGCUUAAUUUGACUCAACACGGGAAAAUUUACUAGGCCCGGACACCGGAAGGAUUGACAGAUUGAGAGCUCUUUCUUGAUUCGGUGGGUGGUGGUGCAUGGUCGUUCUUAGUUGGUGGAGCGGUUUGUCUGGUUAAUUCCGUUAACGAGCGAGACUCUAGCCUACUAACUAGGCGUAAUUUUACCGGUAUCCUGAAGGCUCGUGGCUCCUGCAAACUGACAUAUCGUAGCUGUUGUUGUUUUAUUGUUUCGGCAGUAUGCAUCAGCACUGCCGUAUGUAAAGAGUAGGUGUUCACGGUUUUUACUACCGGCGUACAUAUAAUUCUUCUUAGAGGGACAGGCGGCUUUUAGCCGCACGAGAUUGAGCAAUAACAGGUCUGUGAUGCCCUUAGAUGUCCUGGGCCGCACGCGCGCUACACUGAAGGAAUCAACGUGUCUUCCCUGGCCGAAUGGCCCGGGUAACCCGCUGAACCUCCUUCGUGCUAGGGAUUGGGGCUUGCAAUUGUUCCCCAUGAACGAGGAAUUCCCAGUAAGCGCGAGUCAUAAGCUCGUGUUGAUUACGUCCCUGCCCUUUGUACACACCGCCCGUCGCUACUACCGAUUGAAUGAUUUAGUGAGGUCUUCGGACUGGUACGCGGGGGCGCUUCGACAUCUCCGAUGUCGCUGG